Molecule: ribosomal RNA, 481 nt
Filed under: uncultured bacterium
Lineage: Bacteria
Description: bacterial SSU rRNA
Rfam family: Bacterial small subunit ribosomal RNA
Source: RNAcentral
UGAACGCUGGCGGUGUGCCUAAUACAUGCAAGUCGAACGAGGAGCCUUUUUACUUGUAUUCGUACUCGUAAAGAGGAUUUCCUAGUGGCGAACGGGUGAGUAUCGCGUUGGUGACCUGCCCCAAAGAGAGGAAUAACAGUUCGAAAGGACUGCUAAUACCUCAUGUUGUCAUGGUUUUUAGAAACCCAUGACUAAAGGAGACUUGUCUUCACUUUGGGAGGGGCCUGCGUCCCAUCAGCUAGUUGGUAAGGUAACGGCUUACCAAGGCGACGACGGGUAGGGGACCUGAGAGGGUGGCCCCCCACAAUGGAACUGAAACACGGUCCAUACACCUACGGGUGGCAGCAGUAGGGAAUAUUGCACAAUGGGCGAAAGCCUGAUGCAGCAACACCGCGUGUGCGAUGAAGGCCUUCGGGUCGUAAAGCACUUUUUGAGAGGAUGAGAAAGGACAGUACUCUCAGAAUAAGUCUCGGCUAACUAC